This 732-nucleotide ribosomal RNA is filed under the name uncultured Sulfurimonas sp. RNAcentral's name for it is "bacterial SSU rRNA". It matches the Rfam family "Bacterial small subunit ribosomal RNA", at positions 28 to 774 of the family's 1533-position model. Lineage: Bacteria; Pseudomonadati; Campylobacterota; Epsilonproteobacteria; Campylobacterales; Sulfurimonadaceae. The record is from RNAcentral.
AGUGAACGCUGGCGGCGUGCUUAACACAUGCAAGUCGAACGGUAACGCAAAGUGCUUGCACUUUGGCGACGAGUGGCGCACGGGUGAGUAAUAUAUAGUUAAUGUACCUUCAAGACUGGGAUAGCCACUGGAAACGGUGAUUAAUACUAGAUACACCUUCAUAUCACAAGGUAUGAAGGGAAAUGUUUUUUCGCUUGAAGAUCAGACUAUAUCCUAUCAGUUAGUUGGUGAGGUAAGAGCUCACCAAGACGAUGACGGGUAGCGGGUUUGAGAGGAUGAUCCGCCACACUGGUACUGAGACACGGACCAGACUCCUACGGGAGGCAGCAGUGAGGAAUAUUGCACAAUGGAGGAAACUCUGAUGCAGCAACGCCGCGUGGAGGAUGACGCAUUUCGGUGUGUAAACUCCUUUUAUGAGUCAAGAAAAUGACGGUAGCUCAUGAAUAAGCACCGGCUAACUCCGUGCCAGCAGCCGCGGUAAUACGGAGGGUGCAAGCGUUACUCGGAAUCACUGGGCGUAAAGGACGCGUAGGCGGGAUGUCAAGUCAGGUGUGUGAUCCUAUGGCUCAACCAUAGAACUGCACUUGAAACUGGCAACCUAGAGUAUGGGAGGGGGAGAUGGAAUUAGUGGUGUAGGGGUAAAAUCCGUAGAUAUCACUAGGAAUACCUAAAGCGAAGGCGAUCUCCUGGAACAUAACUGACGCUAAGGCGUGAAAGCGUGGGGAGCAAACA